RNAcentral lists this ribosomal RNA (579 nucleotides) under Triticum aestivum (bread wheat). Its description in RNAcentral is "partial small subunit ribosomal RNA". Lineage: Eukaryota; Viridiplantae; Streptophyta; Magnoliopsida; Poales; Poaceae. The record is from RNAcentral.
AUGCGGCAACCACCAGGGUAUGAAAACAAAAGCACACCUCAUUUUGUCUGUAAGUUGGACAAAGCUUUGUAUGGCUUAAAACAGGCCCCAAGAGCCUGGUACUCCAGGUUGAGCACUCAGUUACAACAACUUGGUUUUAUUCCAAGCAAGGCAGAUACCUCAUUAUUCUUCUAUCACAAAGGCAACAUCUCUAUGUUUGUUCUUGUUUAUGUUGAUGAUAAAAUUGUUGCUAGUUCCAGUUCAGAGGCCACUACCUGUCUGCUCCGUGAUCUUAAUGUGGAGUUUGCACUCAAAGAUUUGGGUGAUCUUCAUUAUUUUCUUGGUAUAGAGGUAAAAAAGAUCAAGGAUGGAAUACUUCUUACACAAGAGAAAUACACCACAGAUAUUCUAAAGAGGAUAGGACUGGAACAUUGCAAACCAGUAAGUACACCACUUUCCACUUCUAAGAAACUUACAGUUGAAGGAGGUGAAUUACUUGGACCGAGUGAUGCAACAAACUAUAGGAGUGUUGUUGGUGCUCUCCAAUAUUUAACGUUGACUAGGCCUGAUAUUUCAUAUUCUGUCAACCAAGUGUGUUAG